UGGACACAUAAGUUUUCUUUCAGUUUCUCUUCUAUGUGAGGAAAAACUGUACAAGUGUCCUAUAGUAACACAGAAGCUAUCUGUUCAACUCUGAUGAGUUAAUAGAGUUGGAUCGUUCCACUUCUGACAGCU
This is a small nucleolar RNA of Callipepla squamata (scaled quail), 132 nucleotides long. It matches the Rfam family "Small Cajal body specific RNA 24". From Rfam's summary of the family: scaRNAs are a specific class of small nuclear RNAs which localise to the Cajal bodies and guide the modification of RNA polymerase II transcribed spliceosomal RNAs U1, U2, U4, U5 and U12. The record is from Rfam. NCBI's taxonomy places the organism in Eukaryota, Metazoa, Chordata, Aves, Galliformes, Odontophoridae.